Molecule: long non-coding RNA, 331 nt
Organism: Mastomys coucha (southern multimammate mouse)
Lineage: Eukaryota; Metazoa; Chordata; Mammalia; Rodentia; Muridae
Exons: 2
Source: RefSeq, a predicted model, not a curated record
GGCAGUGUAUGGCCGCCCUCCCCAGCCGCCCGUGCUUGCCCAGGUCCUCCCGCGCCGGAAUCUACAACAACCUUCGCCAGGGUCGCCUGGGCUCCAUCUUUGGCUCACACGUGACUCUGUCUCCGCCUCUGUUUCCUGUCCGGGGGCUUCCGGUUCGGGAGCCGCUAAACUGCGGACUCGCGAGAUUACUGGGCUUCUGAACUUUGCAUCUCCUAGAGAAGGAAUCAGCUGACCAUGUUUAUAAAGUGCCAUCUUGAUGUCCUGGAAAACACAAAAUUCCAGAGUCAUAAUAGCUAACUACACUAAUAUUAAAUAAAACUUUAUAAAACUA